Molecule: ribosomal RNA, 330 nt
Filed under: uncultured bacterium
Lineage: Bacteria
Description: bacterial SSU rRNA
Rfam family: Bacterial small subunit ribosomal RNA
Source: RNAcentral
UUCGUAGGCGGUGUAGCAAGUCGGGAGUGAAAUCUCUGGGCUUAACCCAGAGGCUGCUUCCGAAACUGCUGUGCUGGAGUGUGGGAGAGGCGCGUGGAAUUGCAGGUGUAGCGGUGAAAUGCGUAGAUAUCUGCAGGAACACCCGUGGCGAAAGCGGCGCGCUGGACCACUACUGACGCUGAGGAACGAAAGCUAGGGGAGCAAACAGGAUUAGAUACCCUGGUAGUCCUAGCCCUAAACGAUCAGGACUUGGGGUGCCGCCCGUUCGGGCGUCGUCCCGGAGCUAACGCGUUAAGUCCUGCACCUGGGGAGUACGGUCGCAAGACUGAA